This 497-nucleotide ribosomal RNA is filed under the name uncultured bacterium. RNAcentral describes it as "partial 16S ribosomal RNA". It matches the Rfam family "Bacterial small subunit ribosomal RNA", at positions 28 to 507 of the family's 1533-position model. The record is from RNAcentral.
GAUGAACGCUGGCGGCGUGCCUAAUACAUGCAAGUCGAGCGAACGGACGAGAAGCUUGCUUUUCUGGUGUUAGCGGCGGACGGGUGAGUAACACGUGGAUAACCUACCUAUAAGACUGUGAUAACUUCGGGAAACCGGAGCUAAUACCGGAUAAUAUUUUGAACCGCAUGGUUCAAAAGUGAAAGACGGUCUUGCUGUCACUUAUAGAUGGAUCCGCGCUGCAUUAGCUAGUUGGUAAGGUAACGGCUUACCAAGGCAACGAUGCAUAGCCGACCUGAGAGGGUGAUCGGCCACACUGGAACUGAGACACGGUCCAGACUCCUACGGGAGGCAGCAGUAGGGAAUCUUCCGCAAUGGGCGAAAGCCUGACGGAGCAACGCCGCGUGAGUGAUGAAGGUCUUCGGAUCGUAAAACUCUGUUAUUAGGGAAGAACAUAUGUGUAAGUAACUGUGCACAUCUUGACGGUACCUAAUCAGAAAGCCACGGCUAACUACGUG